GACGGCCUUCGGGUUGUAAACCUCUUUCAGUAGGGAAGAAGCGCAAGUGACGGUACCUGCAGAAGAAGCGCCGGCUAACUACGUGCCAGCAGCCGCGGUAAUACGUAGGGCGCAAGCGUUGUCCGGAAUUAUUGGGCGUAAAGAGCUCGUAGGCGGUUUGUCGCGUCCGCUGUGAAAGCCCGGGGCUCAACCCCGGGUCGGCAGUGGGUACGGGCAGACUAGAGUGCAGUAGGGGAGACUGGAAUUCCUGGUGUAGCGGUGAAAUGCGCAGAUAUCAGGAGGAACACCGAUGGCGAAGGCAGGUCUCUGGGCUGUUACUGACGCUGAGGAGCGAAAGCAUGGGGAGCGAACAGGAUUAGAUACCCUGGUAGUCCAUGCCGUAAACGUUGGGCACUAGGUGUGGGGGACAUUCCACGUCCUCCGCGCCGUAGCUAACGCAUUAAGUGCCCCGCCUGGGGAGUACGGCCGCAAGGCUAAAACUCAAAG
Molecule: ribosomal RNA, 486 nt
Filed under: Kocuria sp. MN05-04
Lineage: Bacteria; Bacillati; Actinomycetota; Actinomycetes; Micrococcales; Micrococcaceae
Description: bacterial SSU rRNA
Rfam family: Bacterial small subunit ribosomal RNA
Source: RNAcentral